Molecule: ribosomal RNA, 355 nt
Filed under: uncultured rumen bacterium
Lineage: Bacteria
Description: partial 16S ribosomal RNA
Source: RNAcentral
UAUUCCCCACUGCUGCCUCCCGUAGGAGUCUGGGCCGUGUUCCAGUCCCAGUGUGGCCGAUCACCCUCUCAGGCCGGCUACUCAUCACAGGCUUGGUAGGCCGUUACCCCACCAACUACCUAAUGAGACGCGGACUCAUCCAUAGACGAUAGCUUAUAAAUAGAGGCCACCUUUACCCUAAAUCCUUAAUCUAGAGAUUAUCCGGUAUUAGCGCCCGUUUCCAGACGUUAUCCCAAACCUAUGGGUAGAUUAUCCACGUGUUACUCACCCGUGCGCCGCUCUACUCAUUCCCGAAGAAAUUUUCGCGCUCGACUUGCAUGUGUUAGGCACGCCGCCAGCGUUCAUCCUGAGCCAA